GAGAGGCUUUGUCCCUAGUACGAGAGGACCGGGAUGAACGUACCUCUGGUGGAGCUGUUGUCGCGCCAGCGGCAGUGCAGCAUAGCUAUGUACGGACGGGAUAACCGCUGAAGGCAUCUAAGCGGGAAACCCCCCUUAAAACGAGACCUCCCUUGAGGGCCGUGGAAGACGACCACGUCGAUAGGCCGGGGGUGCAAGCGCGGCGACGCGUUGAGCCGACCGGUACUAAUCGCCCGAUUGGCUUGAUCG
RNAcentral lists this ribosomal RNA (249 nucleotides) under Methylobacterium sp. UNC300MFChir4.1. Its description in RNAcentral is "23S rRNA. Bacterial LSU". It matches the Rfam family "Bacterial large subunit ribosomal RNA", at positions 2664 to 2925 of the family's 2925-position model. The record is from RNAcentral. Lineage: Bacteria; Pseudomonadati; Pseudomonadota; Alphaproteobacteria; Hyphomicrobiales; Methylobacteriaceae.